UAAAUCCCUUGUUCUUGGGUGAAGCUCCUAACCUUUCCCAGCUAUUCAGUUUUCAUUCUUGGAUCAUGCCCUUCUUAUGUGUCUCCUUUCUAAUGUAAAUAACCCUGUGCUUUCAACUUCUCUUCAGAUAUGACCAAUCUGAAAUUACUCCUCUGGAUUCACUUCAUUAAGCAGUAACUUCAGCGGACUUUAGCUCAAUAUGUACAACGAAUCAUUAAGUUUGGAAAUCACCUCUAAGGUCAUCUAGUCCAAUACUGCCUUCUAACCACAUCCCUGAGUGCCACAUGUCCACAGUUCUUGAACACCUCCAGGGAUGGUGACUCCACCACCUCCCUGGGCAGCCUGUGCCACUGCACCACCACUCUUCCUGAGAAUAACUUUUUUCUAGUAUAAAACCUGAACUUUCGAUGGCAAUAUUGCAUAGUGUUUUGGCUUCCUUCUGUGGAUUGAUGAAAGAGAGUUGCAAGACCAACAUGGACAUUCAUCAGUGGACACUUCUCAUUUCCAGAUACUGAACAUAAAUAGCUCUAGGACAAUGCUGUAAUCCUGCAUGGAGGAGGGAGAUGUUACAGACAUAUAUUAUGAUCCAGACCCACCCCAAUACUCGAUGUUACGUCCUGUCUCAUGGACUCCUACAGAAGCACUAAAACCAUGGCACACAAAGGCACCACGGGACUCCCACCAUCAUCAGAGCUUUCCGCCUGCCUCUGGCUCUAGCUGUCAGAACCGCUUCAGCUGAAAUCAAGUUCUUUAGAUUUAUGCAGUAGCUAUGUUUGUCAAAGUAUUUGGCACUGGUGACGUCAUCUUUGUUGAAAUGCUGGAUGGCGUGAUGAGUCCCAGAUGUUAAUGCACACUGAGAGAUGAGAAAGGAUAAAAUACAAAGAGCAACACUAACAGCUAUGGAGGUAAUGAAAGGUGAUUUUAUUUUCUUCUAGUGUUCAAAUAUAAAUAUUUGUAUUUGUUUGAUAUUUAUUUGUAUAAAUAAUCAGUUAGGGACUGAAAACUCUGCAUGUGCAGACUAAGAUGAGAAUUUGGGUGAAUGCUGAAUGAAGGAUUUGACUUCAUGAUUGCACUAUUU
This 1078-nucleotide long non-coding RNA is filed under the name Coturnix japonica (Japanese quail). RNAcentral's name for it is "lncRNA (ENSCJPG00005012459.1)". The record is from RNAcentral. Lineage: Eukaryota; Metazoa; Chordata; Aves; Galliformes; Phasianidae.